UACGUAGGGUGCAAGCGUUAAUCGGAAUUACUGGGCGUAAAGCGUGCGCAGGCGGCUUUGCAAGACAGAUGUGAAAUCCCCGGGCUUAACCUGGGAACUGCAUUUGUGACUGCAAGGCUAGAGUACGGUAGAGGGGGAUGGAAUUCCGCGUGUAGCAGUGAAAUGCGUAGAUAUGCGGAGGAACACCGAUGGCGAAGGCAAUCCCCUGGACCUGUACUGACGCUCAUGCACAAAAGCGUGGGGAGCAAACAGG
This 253-nucleotide ribosomal RNA is filed under the name uncultured bacterium. RNAcentral describes it as "partial 16S ribosomal RNA". It matches the Rfam family "Bacterial small subunit ribosomal RNA", at positions 524 to 776 of the family's 1533-position model. The record is from RNAcentral.